GAUGAACGCUGGCGGCGUGCCUAAUACAUGCAAGUCGAGCGAACAGAUGAGAAGCUUGCUUCUCUGAUGUUAGCGGCGGACGGGUGAGUAACACGUGGGUAACCUACCUAUAAGACUGGGAUAACUCCGGGAAACCGGGGCUAAUACCGGAUAAUAUUUUGAACCGCAUGGUUCAAUAGUGAAAGACGGUUUCGGCUGUCACUUACAGAUGGACCCGCGCCGUAUUAGCUAGUUGGUAAGGUAACGGCUUACCAAGGCGACGAUACGUAGCCGACCUGAGAGGGUGAUCGGCCACACUGGAACUGAUACACGGCCCAGACUCCUACGGGAGGCAGCAGUAGGGAAUCUUCCGCAAUGGGCGAAAGCCUGACGGAGCAACGCCGCGUGAGUGAUGAAGGUCUUCGGAUCGUAAAACUCUGUUGUUAGGGAAGAACAAAUUUGUUAGUAACUGAACAAGUCUUGACGGUACCUAACCAGAAAGCCACGGCUAACUACGUGCCAGCAGCCGCCGUAA
RNAcentral lists this ribosomal RNA (514 nucleotides) under uncultured bacterium. Its description in RNAcentral is "partial 16S ribosomal RNA". It matches the Rfam family "Bacterial small subunit ribosomal RNA", at positions 28 to 523 of the family's 1533-position model. The record is from RNAcentral.